AUGCCUGUUCCACCUCAGAAGAUCAUUCCAGAAAUUCACUCCUUAGGCUCUCCACACUGUCAGAGAAGUUCAGGAGGUUCUCCAGUUCAUCUCCAUCUGUAUCUGCCUCCUCCUCUGCCUCCCUGGACAUUUGUGGCUCCCCCUCACCUUUACUACCCAACUCCAUGUAGCCUUUGGAAAGAAGAUGUGUCCAAGUGACUGCCAAGAGACAAAUGUAAGUACUCUCAACAUAUCAAUUCCUUUUUUAAAAAUCAAUGCUUUACAAUUACAUUAAGUUGAAAUGUGAGUGAGCAUAAUGAAACAGUUUUGUAGCUGAAUACUGGUGUUUGUUAAAUCAGAAUUGAUAGAACUCAUGAGCAGUCGCUGCAUUGAGAAUCUCUUCCGAGCUGUUAUCUGAUGGUUAGAUUGUAUCAUUCAUAUGCACUGCAGUGACUUCCUUUCUACCUUAGACUUCUUCAGAAGAAUGCACGUAGUUCUUAAUAGAGGAAAUACUUGUACAAUUUGUUUUUAGAAACAGUGUUUUAGUCAGAUCUAUUUUUGAACCUGUAGCUCCUACAAAUAGACCUCAGAUAAGGCAAAGAGAUUCAGAAUUCAACCUUUUUGAGAGUUUCUUGAAUAGACCAAAAGUUUACAGAGGUUACUUUUCUUUACUAAAGGAGACUGAAUGCAAGUGUGUCUACCUACCCAACACAACUGUAAGUAACCCUUUUCUAAACAAAUGUUAGACAAAUGGAAAUGGGUUAAUUUAUAUAUGUCCUGAUUAUGUGCAACCAAUGUUUCCUAUUUUUUUUCUAGGGCUGCACUAAUUAUCAAUAUAUUGAACAAGGACUGAAAACUUUAAACUUACACUGUGUUUUUUCCAACAUCAUGACACAAAAAAUAUGCCAAGUGCUUGAAAGGUUGAAGGUAAGAAUGCAUAUUGAUUAAACAUCAGAAUCACAUAAAACACAUUUUUGUUUACCAACAAUUAUGGAUACCC
Pygocentrus nattereri (red-bellied piranha) is the source of this 979-nucleotide long non-coding RNA. The record is from Ensembl. Lineage: Eukaryota; Metazoa; Chordata; Actinopteri; Characiformes; Serrasalmidae.